RNAcentral lists this ribosomal RNA (228 nucleotides) under Triticum aestivum (bread wheat). RNAcentral describes it as "partial small subunit ribosomal RNA". The record is from RNAcentral. Lineage: Eukaryota; Viridiplantae; Streptophyta; Magnoliopsida; Poales; Poaceae.
AUGAAUAUCCUAAGCUGGAACUGUCGGGGUGAGGGGAACCCCCGGACAGUUCGUGACCUUGUGAGCCUUGUGCAUGUUCACUCCCCUAGUAUCGUCUUUCUUUGUGAGACUAGGCAAUCAAAAAAUAAAAUGAAGAGAUAUCGUGCUCGGCUAGGUUUAAGUGGUUUUGAAGCUUUUGAUAGUGUUGGUCUUAGUGGUGGCCUUGCCUUGUAUUGGCAUGAGUCUUUG